UGAGGAAUAUUGCCCAAUGGACGCAAGUCUGAGGCAGCGACGCCGCGUGGGUGAUGAAGGCCUUCGGGUCGUAAAGCCCUUUUCUGUGUGACGAGCAAGGACGGUAGCACAGGAAAAAGUCUCGGCUAACUACGUGC
RNAcentral lists this ribosomal RNA (137 nucleotides) under uncultured bacterium. RNAcentral describes it as "partial 16S ribosomal RNA". It matches the Rfam family "Bacterial small subunit ribosomal RNA", at positions 355 to 508 of the family's 1533-position model. The record is from RNAcentral.